Molecule: ribosomal RNA, 301 nt
Filed under: uncultured bacterium
Lineage: Bacteria
Description: partial 16S ribosomal RNA
Rfam family: Bacterial small subunit ribosomal RNA
Source: RNAcentral
CAGUAGCCGCGGGAAUACGGAGGAUCCAAGCGUUAUCAGGAAUCAUUGGGUUUAAAGGGUCCGUAGGCGGUCUUGUAAGUCAGUGGUGAAAGCCCAUCGCUCAACGGUGGAACGGCCAUUGAUACUGCAGGACUUGAAUUAUUGGGAAGUAACUAGAAUAUGUAGUGUAGCGGUGAAAUGCUUAGAGAUUACAUGGAAUACCAAUUGCGAAGGCAGGUUACUACCAAUUGAUUGACGCUGAUGGACGAAAGCGUGGGUAGCGAACAGGAUUAGAUACCCCAGUAGUCCCUGUCUCUUAUAC